GUAGGGUCCAAGCGUUAAUCGGAAUUACUGGGCGUAAAGCGUGCGCAGGCGGUUGUGCAAGACCGAUGUGAAAUCCCCGGGCUUAACCUGGGAAUUGCAUUGGUGACUGCACGGCUAGAGUGUGUCAGAGGGGGGUAGAAUUCCACGUGUAGCAGUGAAAUGCGUAGAGAUGUGGAGGAAUACCGAUGGCGAAGGCAGCCCCCUGGGAUAACACUGACGCUCAUGCACGAAAGCGUGGGGAGCAAACAGGAUUAGAUACCCUGGUAGCCCACGCCCCUAAACGAUGUCAACUAGUUGUUGGGGAUUCAUUUCCUUAGUAACGUAGCUAACGCGUGAAGUUGACCGCCUGGGAGUACGGUCGCAAGAUUA
RNAcentral lists this ribosomal RNA (369 nucleotides) under uncultured organism. Its description in RNAcentral is "partial 16S ribosomal RNA". It matches the Rfam family "Bacterial small subunit ribosomal RNA", at positions 527 to 896 of the family's 1533-position model. The record is from RNAcentral.